UGGGGAAUUUUCCGCAAUGGGCGAAAGCCUGACGGAGUGACGCCGCGUGGGGGACGAAGGCCUUCGGGUCGUAAACCCCUGUCAGAGGGAAAGAAGGGUCUCGGCGUGAAUAUCGCCGGGAUCUGACGGUACCUUCAGAGGAAGCCCCGGCCAACUCUGUGCCAGCAGCCGCGGUAAGACAGAGGGGGCAAGCGUUGCUCGGAAUCACUGGGCGUAAAGGGCGCGUAGGCGGGAUGGCAAGUCAGUCGUGAAAUCCCUGGGCUCAACUCAGGGGGGUCGGCUGAUACUGCCGUUCUUGAGGGAUGCAGAGGAGACUGGAAUUCCCGGUGUAGCGGUGAAAUGUGUAGAGAUCGGGAGGAACACCGGUGGCGAAGGCGGGUCUCUGGGCAUUCCCUGACGCUGAGGCGCGAAAGCGUGGGGAGCAAACGGGAUUAGAUACCCCGGUAGUCCACGCGGUAAACGAUGACGACUAGGUGUGGGGGGGUUAAGUCCCUUCCGUGCCGCAGCUAACGCAUUAAGUCGUCCGCCUGGGGAGUACGGCCGCAAGGUUGC
RNAcentral lists this ribosomal RNA (552 nucleotides) under uncultured bacterium. RNAcentral describes it as "bacterial SSU rRNA". It matches the Rfam family "Bacterial small subunit ribosomal RNA", at positions 355 to 897 of the family's 1533-position model. The record is from RNAcentral.